CCUACGGGAGGCAGCAGUGAGGAAUAUUGGUCAAUGGGCGGAAGCCUGAACCAGCCAAGUCGCGUGAGGGAAUAAGGCCCUACGGGUCGUAAACCUCUUUUGCCGGGGAGCAAGGGCGGGGACGUGUCCCGGCCCGGAGAGUACCCGGAGAAAAAGCAUCGGCUAACUCCGUGCCAGCAGCCGCGGUAAUACGGAGGAUGCGAGCGUUAUCCGGAUUUAUUGGGUUUAAAGGGAGCGUAGGCCGGCUUUUAAGUCAGCUGUGAAAGUCCGCGGCUCAACCGUGGAAUUGCAGUUGAAACUGGAGG
This 305-nucleotide ribosomal RNA is filed under the name uncultured bacterium. Its description in RNAcentral is "bacterial SSU rRNA". It matches the Rfam family "Bacterial small subunit ribosomal RNA", at positions 338 to 639 of the family's 1533-position model. The record is from RNAcentral.